RNAcentral lists this ribosomal RNA (253 nucleotides) under uncultured bacterium. RNAcentral describes it as "partial 16S ribosomal RNA". It matches the Rfam family "Bacterial small subunit ribosomal RNA", at positions 524 to 776 of the family's 1533-position model. The record is from RNAcentral.
UACGUAGGGUGCAAGCGUUAAUCGGAAUUACUGGGCGUAAAGCGUGCGCAGGCGGUUGUGUAAGACAGAUGUGAAAUCCCCGGGCUCAACCUGGGAACUGCAUUUGUGACUGCACAGCUGGAGUGCGGCAGAGGGGGAUGGAAUUCCGCGUGUAGCAGUGAAAUGCGUAGAGAUCGGGAGGAACACCUGUGGCGAAGGCGGCCGACUGGGCCGACCCUGACGCUGAGGCGCGAAAGCUAGGGGAGCAAACGGG